This 2756-nucleotide ribosomal RNA is filed under the name uncultured alpha proteobacterium EB000_46D07. RNAcentral's name for it is "23S ribosomal RNA". It matches the Rfam family "Bacterial large subunit ribosomal RNA". The record is from RNAcentral. Lineage: Bacteria; Pseudomonadati; Pseudomonadota; Alphaproteobacteria.
CGGUCUGAUCAAGCGUCUCUAANGGGCAUUUGGUGGAUGCCUUNGGNCGUUGAGAGGCGAUGAANGGACGUGACACGCUGCGAUAAGCCAUGGGGNAGCUGCGAGUAAGCUUUGAUCNCGUGGANUUUCCGAAUGGGGAAACCCNGGCCAUUUAGGUCAUCCCGCAAGGGAAGCGAACCUGGGGAACUGAAAUAUCUAAGUACCCAGAGGAAAGGACAUCAACCGAGACUCCGUUAGUAGUGACGAGCGAACGCGGACCAGGCCAGUGGCUUGAUAGAAGAUAACCNAGAAGCGUCUGGAAAGGCGCGCCAUAGUGGGUGAUAGCCCCGUAUGGGUAAUGCUUUCUUCAAGUCCUUGAGUAGGGCGGGACACGUGAAAUCCUGUCUGAACAUNGGGGGGACCACCCUCCAAGCCUAAGUACUCCUCAACGACCGAUAGUGAACCAGUACCGUGAGGGAAAGGUGAAAAGCACCCCGAUGAGNGGGAGUGAAAUAGACCUGAAACCNGAAUGCCUACAAUCAGUCGGAGCCACAGUAAGUGNGUGACNGGCGUNACCUUNUUGUAUAAUGGGUCAGCGAGUUACUUUGACGAGCAAGCCNUAAGCNCGUUAGGCGUAAGCGAAGCNGAAAGCGAGUCUGAAUANGGGCGUUUAGUUCGUUUGAGUAGACCCNGAAACCGGGUGAUCUAGCCAUGGGCAGGUUGAANGGUACGGUAACACGUACUGGAGGACCGAACCCACGCAUGUUGAAAAAUGNCGGGGAUGANCCUGUGGCUANGNGGGNUGAAANGGCCAAUCAAACCCGGAGAUAGCUNGGUUCUCUGCGAAAACUAUUUAGGUAGUGCGUCGUGUAUUACCGUCGGGGGUAGAGCACUGGAUGGGCUAGGGGNGGCGCGAGCCUUACCAAACCUAACCAAACUCNCGAAUACCGUCGAGUACAGCACGGCAGACAGACUAUGGGUGCUAAGGUCCAUAGUCGAGNAGGGNAAACAGCCCAGACCUNCCAGCUAAGGUCCCNUAAAUUGUGGCUAAGUGGGAAAGGAUGUGGNGAAGGCCAAGACAGCCAGGAGGUUGGCUUAGAAGCAGCCAUCCUUUAAAGAAAGCGUAACAGCUCACUGGUNCUAGACAAGNCCNGGCCUGCGCCGAAGAUGUAACGGNGGCUAAAGCCACAUACCNGAAGCUGAGGACGUGAUUUAUCACGUGGUAGCAGAGCGUUCUGUANGGCCNUGCGAAGCGUAAUCGUGAGAUUGCGUGGNAGGUAUCAGAAGUGAGAAUGCUGACAUGAGUAGCGAUAAAGAGUGUGAGAAACACUCUCGCCNGUAAGCCCAAGGGUUCCUGCGCAAGGCUAAUNCCGCGCAGGGUGAGUCGGCCCCUAAGACGAGGGCGAAAGCCGUAGUCGAUGGGAAUCAGGUUAAUAUUCCUGAACCUGUUGGUAGUGACGGAUGACGUAAGUUGUACAUGCUUAACGGAUUGUGUGUGCAGCGAAGUUGUCCCAGGAAAUAGCUCCAACNANUUAAGACCGUACCCCAAACCGACACAGGUGGGCAGGUAGAGCAUACCGAGGCGCUUGAGAGAACGAUGUUGAANGGAACUCGGCAAAUUGCCCCCNGUAACUUCNGGGAGAANGGGGGACCUCCAUUUAGGCAACUAGAUGGAGGUGGCACAGACCANGGGGGUGGCGACUGUUUAUUAAAAACACAGGGCUCUGCGAAGUAGACAAUACGACGUAUAGGGUCUGACGCCUGCCCGGUGCCGGAAGGUUAAGAGGAGGUGUGAGAGCUCCGAAUUGAAGCCCCNGGUAAANCGGCGGCCNGUAACUAUAACGNGUCCUAANGGUAGCGAAAUUCCUUGUCGGGUAAGUUCCGACCNUGCACGAAUGGCGUAACGACUUCCCCGCUGUCUCCAACAUCGACUCAGCGAAAUUNGAAUUCUCCGUGAAGAUGCGGAGUACCCGCGGUCAGACGGAAAGACCCCGUGCACCNUUUACUACAACUUUGCAGUGGCAAUAGAGUGAAGAUGUGCAGGAUAGGNUGGGAGCCUUUGAAGCGGUAGCGCCAGUUAUCGUGGAGGCGUCCUUGAGAUACCACCCUUCUGCACUCUAUUGUCUAANCCGCGGCCAGUGAACCCUGGUCCGGGACCCUGCAUGGUGGGUAGUUUGACUGGGGCGGUCGCCUCCUAAAUGGUAACGGAGGCGNCGCAAUGGUGGGCUCAGGCCGGUCGGACAUCGGCUGCUGAGUGCAAUGGCAUAAGCCCGCCUGACUGCGAGACUGACAAGUCGNAGCAGAGACGAAAGUCGGUCAUAGUGAUCCNGGUGGUUCUGUGUGGAAGGGNCCAUCGCUCAACGGAUAAAAGGUACGCCGGGGNAUAACAGGCUGAUACCCCCCAAGAGUUCACAUCGNACGGGGGUGUUUGGCACCUCGAUGUCGGCUCAUCACAUCCNUGGGGCUGGAGCAGGUCCCNAANGGGUUCGGCUGUUCGCCGAUUAAANGUGGUACGUGAGCUGGGUUUAGANACGUCGUGAGACAGUUCGGUCCCUAUCUGCCGUGGGUGUAAGAAUCUUGAGAGGAGCUGUCCCUAGUACGAGAGGACCGGGAUGGACAUACCUCUGGUGUACCGGUUGUCGCGCCAGCGGCACCGCCGGGUAGCUAAGUGUGGAAGAGAUAACCGCUGAAAGCAUCUAAGCGGGAAGCCCCCCUCAAAACCAGGAUUCGCUUGAGAACCGUGGGAGACCACCACGUUGAUAGGCCAAGUGUGGAAG